GCGCCGGGAGCUCAAUUGGAUAGAGCGACAGACUACGGAUCUGUAGGCUGUGGGUUCGAGUCCCGCCCGGCGCACCA
This 77-nucleotide transfer RNA is filed under the name Candidatus Fermentithermobacillaceae bacterium. Its description in RNAcentral is "tRNA-Arg". It matches the Rfam family "tRNA". Rfam says of the family: Transfer RNA (tRNA) molecules are approximately 80 nucleotides in length. Their secondary structure includes four short double-helical elements and three loops (D, anti-codon, and T loops). Further hydrogen bonds mediate the characteristic L-shaped molecular structure. tRNAs have two regions of fundamental functional importance: the anti-codon, which is responsible for specific mRNA codon recognition, and the 3' end, to which the tRNAs corresponding amino acid is attached (by aminoacyl-tRNA synthetases). tRNAs cope with the degeneracy of the genetic code in two manners: having more than one tRNA (with a specific anti-codon) for a particular amino acid; and 'wobble' base-pairing, i.e. permitting non-standard base-pairing at the 3rd anti-codon position. The record is from RNAcentral. Lineage: Bacteria; Bacillati; Bacillota; Candidatus Fermentithermobacillia; Candidatus Fermentithermobacillales; Candidatus Fermentithermobacillaceae.